GCAGUCCGAGCGGACAGAAGGGAGCUUGCUUCCCGGAUGUUAGCGGCGGACGGGUGAGUAACACGUGGGUAACCUGCCUGUAAGACUGGGAUAACUCCGGGAAACCGGAGCUAAUACCGGAUAGUUCCUUGAACCGCAUGGUUCAAGGAUGAAAGACGGUUUCGGCUGUCACUUACAGAUGGACCCGCGGCGCAUUAGCUAGUUGGUGAGGUAACGGCUCACCAAGGCGACGAUGCGUAGCCGACCUGAGAGGGUGAUCGGCCACACUGGGACUGAGACACGGCCCAGACUCCUACGGGAGGCAGCAGUAGGGAAUCUUCCGCAAUGGACGAAAGUCUGACGGAGCAACGCCGCGUGAGUGAUGAAGGUUUUCGGAUCGUAAAGCUCUGUUGUUAGGGAAGAACAAGUGCAAGAGUAACUGCUUGCACCUUGACGGUACCUAACCAGAAAGCCACGGCUAACUACGUGCCAGCAGCCGCGGUAAUACGUAGGUGGCAAGCGUUGUCCGGAAUUAUUGGGCGUAAAGGGCUCGCAGGCGGUUUCUUAAGUCUGAUGUGAAAGCCCCCGGCUCAACCGGGGAGGGUCAUUGGAAACUGGGAAACUUGAGUGCAGAAGAAGAGAGUGGAAUUCCACGUGUAGCGGUGAAAUGCGUAGAGAUGUGGAGGAACA
Molecule: ribosomal RNA, 669 nt
Filed under: Bacillus altitudinis
Lineage: Bacteria; Bacillati; Bacillota; Bacilli; Caryophanales; Bacillaceae
Description: bacterial SSU rRNA
Rfam family: Bacterial small subunit ribosomal RNA
Source: RNAcentral